Molecule: microRNA precursor, 109 nt
Filed under: Sorghum bicolor (sorghum)
Lineage: Eukaryota; Viridiplantae; Streptophyta; Magnoliopsida; Poales; Poaceae
Description: MIR5565 microRNA precursor family
Rfam family: MIR5565 microRNA precursor family
Source: Rfam by way of RNAcentral
GUUAUCGUAUUCAUCUCAAUCCACAUGUGUUGAAGUGGAUUGAGGUGGAAUUUAGUUCAAAUUACACUCCAACCCAUUCCAACAUAUGUGGAUUGAUGUGAAUCCGACU